Non-coding RNA from Coffea arabica (coffee), 648 nucleotides. The record is from RefSeq and is a predicted model, not a curated record. NCBI's taxonomy places the organism in Eukaryota, Viridiplantae, Streptophyta, Magnoliopsida, Gentianales, Rubiaceae.
UAAAACAAUGAUUACUCCUUGAACCUGUUGAUGUUCAACAAGCAGUAUCUGUGGUGUUCCUGGCUUUCUUCGUUCUCCAUAAAGUACAACAAUUAUUUUCCCUUCGAUUGUAAAUUGUUCUCAAGUUUAGUCUCAUCUCAUAUGCAUUUUCUCUGUUUAAACUCUGACAUCUGAGAAUACGUCUGCUACAUUUUCCACUUUGUUUUGACCUUGUUAAUAUAUUUCAUCUAACACCAUGGGUUAUUUAUCCUGUAGGCAAUUGGGGUUUUGUCUAAAGGCAUUGAUAACUGGGGACACCUUGGAGGCUUAAUAGGUGGUGUUGCAACCUCAUGGUUUCUUGGUCCUGCUUGGAAGCUGGAGUCCAUUUCUAAUGAUGGCCAUGCUGACAACGCACCCAUUUUUACCGUCAUUAAGCAUACAAGAAAUAGCAAUAGAUGACAUCAGUCAUUUGUAUUGAGGGUUGUUCCAUGAACAUUACAUCAACUUUGCUUUAGGUUUUUGUCUUGAAUUUGAAUCUUAGAGAUCAGGAUGGAAGGUUUUAGUACUGUAGGUAAGAUUAUGAAUUAAUUUGUAUGUACUGGGAGGUAGUAUGUUUGUGGAACCUUGGUGGCUGCUUUGAAAUAAAGUGUGUUAUUGGUUUGCUGUGAA